Molecule: ribosomal RNA, 259 nt
Filed under: uncultured bacterium
Lineage: Bacteria
Description: partial 16S ribosomal RNA
Rfam family: Bacterial small subunit ribosomal RNA
Source: RNAcentral
GUCCACGCCCUAAACGAUGAUUACUCGAUGUGUGCGAUAUACAGUACGCGUCUAAGCGAAAGCAUUAAGUAAUCCACCUGGGGAGUACGGUCGCAAGAUUGAAACUCAAAGGAAUUGACGGGGGCCCGCACAAGCGGAGGAGCAUGUGGUUUAAUUCGAUGAUACGCGAGGAACCUUACCUGGGCUUGAAAGUUAGUGACGUACCGAGAAAACCGGUAUUCCCUUCGGGGCACAAAACUAGGUGCUGCAUGGCUGUCGU